AGUAAGAAAACUAGCACAUUCAAAUCAUUGGAGGCUUGCUCUAUUGAUUGUUUGCUUAUUUGGGGAGCAAAAUAUUUUCCUUAGUACCUUGUUAGAUAGCAUGAGAAUUGUAAUUUGAGAUUGAUCAUAACCCAUUGAGGGUAAUCAUUCAUUUUCUUUAGAAAAUUUUCUAAUAUAGUUGAAUUACCAUGUAAAUAUAGUUUGCUUGUAUGUUUCCUAGUCAGUGAUAGGUGUCGAACAGUGUCCAAAUAUAAGCUUUCGUUGUCCAAAUAGGUGAAGUUGAAUGGUCAAAUUGUUUUGAGGGAAUAUCUAAUGCAAAGUGCAAUGAAAAUGUUCUUUUUGAACUUUACAUAAGUUUGGAUAUCUUGGUUAGGGUCAUAGAUUAAAUACCAACAAUGGGAUCUUACCUAUCAGUUUGAAUUUUUGAUGUGGCUUCUAGAUCACGAUAUUAUUUAACUUGAGAUUGUGCCAAGUGAGCCAAGUGUCUUGAGUUCAAAUUCCUUGGCUUUAAUGUUAAAUCAAAAUAAGUAUUAAGGGAGGAAAAAUAUAAGUUAUAUAGGGUUUACAAGUGAAAUAAAGAAAGGAAAAUAUUCUAACAUUAGCAAAGCUAAUCACUUACUGCACUAAAAAGAAUAGCCAAUCAUGCAAAUGAAUAAAGACUUUAAUUGACUACAAGUUUCAAAAGUGGCUUUCCGCAGUCAGUUCUAAAUGCUAUUGAAUUUUAGUCAAGGUCCCAAAAAUUAUGUUGAAACUUUCUCUUUUAACGCUAUCUCUGGGUUUUUGACGUCCAUAACAUAAUAAAUUAUUUAUUUACACUCAGUUAUUUUGAUACAGCUAUAUAUGUGGAGCAACGAUAAAUGGGAAAAGCUAAAAUCCAGGUUCAUACAAGCACUAGUUGGCCAACAAUCCCCUCUGGUCGGAGAAACUAAAGUCCAGUUUCAUAAUGAUCAAACACAUCUAUUGGUGGUUCAUGAUAGCCAAAUUUCCAUUUAUGACAGCAAACUCGAAUGUUCACGUUCUGUAUGUUUUGCUUCCAUCUCAUCUUGUUUUAGUGUGUCAUCAGUUUGCUCUCUCUCUUUAAGUAAACUUACCAUAUGAUAACUUAUAUGACCAUGAUCUCAAUUCAAUUAAAUUCUGUGGAAACAUAGCACCAUGAUAAUAUAGGUUAAUGAGAACCGAAUCACAUAUUCUUGUUAGCAUAAAAGAUUAAGUUAUUUAGCUUAUUAUCACCACUGUACAAAUUCCACCUUGACCAGCUAGAGUAAAGCCUACUAGAAUUUGGCAAAUGUUAAUAUACCCUUAUGCUAUGUAUUUAUGACUUGUAUUCGUCUCCAAGAGAUACACUCCCUGCUUCCAUUUCAAGUGCAAUAUAUUCAUGUGAUGGUUUAAUGGUGUAUGCCGGUUUUUGUGAUGGUGCUGUUGGAGUUUUUGAUGCGGGCAAUUUAAGGCUCUGAUGUAGAAUAGCACCUUCUGCUUACAUACCUUCCUUCACUGGGUAAGUAUAUAAAAAUCACUUCAAAGGUUUCAAAAUUUUUUCAUUAAUUUCCUUGUAUCAAAAUCUCGAAGCAAUAUAUAUAAUCCAUCCUUCACUGACUGUAUAUUCAGCAGCAGCAGCACUACCACCUAUCCUUUUGUUACAACAGCUCAUCCAUCUGAGCCUAAUCAAAUUGCUCUUGGCAUGAAAGAUGGAGCAGUGCACGUAAUGCCAUCGGUUGCUAAUUAAAGAAGUUUUUCAAAAUUGGUUACAAGCUAGACAAAUUUCCUCCCCAGUAACAAUCUUCUGCUUAUACAAGCCAAGACGAUCUGCAUAUAGCGGGAAUGACUAAACGGAAUACUUGAUUUUUCUGCCCAAUGUCUUGAUGUUGGAGAUUGGGGAGGUAGGUUUCCUUGAGUUUAAUUCAGUGAAGUUUUAGAUGUAGCUACUAAAUCCAUUCUCACAAGUAAUUGACCAGUAUGUAAGUAUAUAUUUGUUUUUCUCUCUGUUUGGAUAUGGUGAUGGAGGUCAGUUAAAGGGAGGAGGCAGGAAUUGGUUAGCCAGCCCUUGCCCUCAUGUUUGACUGAUGAUCUCCAAAUUCACUGGACGUUCUAAUUCAAUUGGAAGGGUUGCCUUCGUGGGAAAGCACUCGGGAGAAGUUUGAUUCAAUAGCCAUCACUUUCCCUUUAACUUUGAAGACAAAAUGAAACUCGUUGGGGGUAUUCAUAGACCUUGGAUCACCAAGGUGUACCAAAGAAAGGGCAGCAAAAGAAUUGCACCACAAGCUGAAGUGGAGGCAGUUGAAGCUGAGGCCAGGAGCUGCAAACAUGUGGCAGGAUAUCGUAACAGAUAACAUAUUUGAAUUGGGUUGUUGGCAGGAUAACAAAGCAGGUAAUACAUUUGAAUUGGGCUGUUGGCUGGAAAAUGGGACGAUAACACAUUUUGAAAGGAGCUGCUGGACUCAUAAAUAAAAAUGAAGAAGCUGAGGAAGUCAUCAAGGAAAAAGUAGAGGGGAUUUAGGGAGGUUUUUUGGGGGCUCCGGCCAAGAGGAACUGGCUCCCCUGUUGCCAGUAUUCAUUUAUGCAUUGUUGGUUGUUCAUUUCAGAAUAAUUUUAGUCAAGCUAUUGGCUGUAACUUUGCUUAGUUCAAUCAAUGAAAGCACUUUUCAUUUAA
Long non-coding RNA from Mangifera indica (mango), 2647 nucleotides. RefSeq lists it as uncharacterized. The transcript has 2 exons. The record is from RefSeq and is a predicted model, not a curated record. NCBI's taxonomy places the organism in Eukaryota, Viridiplantae, Streptophyta, Magnoliopsida, Sapindales, Anacardiaceae.